This 464-nucleotide ribosomal RNA is filed under the name uncultured bacterium. RNAcentral's name for it is "partial 16S ribosomal RNA". It matches the Rfam family "Bacterial small subunit ribosomal RNA", at positions 338 to 795 of the family's 1533-position model. The record is from RNAcentral.
CCUACGGGAGGCAGCAGUAGGGAAUUUUCGUCAAUGGGCGCAAGCCUGAACGAGCAAUGCCGCGUGAACGAGGAAGGUCUUCGGAUCGUAAAGUUCUGUUGAAGGGGAAAAAGAGCGGAGAGAGGAAAUGGUCUCCGAUUGAUAUUACCCUUCGAGGAAGUCACGGCUAACUCCGUGCCAGCAGCCGCGGUAAUACGUAGGUGGCGAGCGUUAUCCGGAAUGAUUGGGCGAAAAGGGUGCGUAGGCGGCCUGCUAAGUCUGGAGUGAAAGGUACCGGCUCAACCGGUACAGGCCCUGGAAACUGGCGGGCUAGAGAGCAGGAGAGGACGGUGGAACUCCAUGUGUAGCGGUAAAAUGCGUAGAUAUAUGGAAGAACACCAGUGGCGAAGGCGACCGCCUGGCCUGUUACUGACGUUGAGGCACGAAAGCGUGGGGAGCAAAUAGGAUUAGAUACCCCUGUAGUC